RNAcentral lists this ribosomal RNA (253 nucleotides) under uncultured bacterium. Its description in RNAcentral is "partial 16S ribosomal RNA". It matches the Rfam family "Bacterial small subunit ribosomal RNA", at positions 524 to 776 of the family's 1533-position model. The record is from RNAcentral.
UACAGAGGGUGCGAGCGUUAAUCGGAAUUACUGGGCGUAAAGGGCGCGUAGGUGGUUUAUUAAGAUGGAUGUGAAAUCCCUGGGCUUAACCUAGGAACUGCAUCGAUGACUGAUAAGCUAGAGUACUGUAGAGGGUAGUGGAAUUUCCGGUGUAGCGGUGAAAUGCGUAGAGAUCGGAAGGAACACCGGUGGCGAAGGCGGCUACCUGGACAGCUACUGACACUGAGGCGCGAGAGCGUGGGGAGCAAACAGG